AGCAAAACCACAUUCCUGCUGCUGUCAGUUAUGAUGCACUGAGAAAACUUCAGAGACCUAAACUUUUUCCAGAGAAGAGAAGCUUUACUGGUGUUCCAGCCCUAAGAAACUUAAAUCCUCAGUGUGACACAACUCAGUCCUUCUACUGCAGCAGCUCUUUUAUAAAUGCCUCCCAAAGCUCCAAGAAGGAACAAAGAAUGUGACCCAGUAAGAUCACACCAUGAGUCUAUAUUGCAGAAACCUUUGUUCAACAAAACUGCAGAUGCUCUGUUGAAUCCACUGGAGAUUGUUCUGAUACUAAGGACAAGUAUGGGAAUUUCUACUCAUCUUAAAAACAUAUAUAGAUAUUGAUCUGCGGAGAAAUAUAUCUCUGUUAUUUCAAGGCUCAUAUGACAUUAACAGACAAGACACUUUUCAGAAAGACAGGUAAGUCAUUUGUUAAAAUCUC
RNAcentral lists this long non-coding RNA (448 nucleotides) under Homo sapiens (human). Its description in RNAcentral is "non-protein coding lnc-NUTM2B-1:1". Lineage: Eukaryota; Metazoa; Chordata; Mammalia; Primates; Hominidae. The record is from RNAcentral.